This 493-nucleotide ribosomal RNA is filed under the name uncultured bacterium. Its description in RNAcentral is "bacterial SSU rRNA". It matches the Rfam family "Bacterial small subunit ribosomal RNA", at positions 28 to 517 of the family's 1533-position model. The record is from RNAcentral.
GAUGAACGCUAGCGGCAGGCCUAAUACAUGCAAGACGAACGGUAAGUUGAGUAGCAAUACUUAGCCAAGAGUGUCGUACGGGUGCGUAACACGGAUGCAACCUACCCUAUACAGGAGGAUAGCCUAGGGAAACCUGGAUUAACCCUUCAUAGUAUUAUUGGAUGGCAUCAUUUGAUAAUUAAAACUGAGGUGGUAUAGGAUGGGCAUGCGUCUGAUUAGUUAGUUGGCGGGGUAAUGGCCCACCAAGACGAUGAUCAGUAGGGGUUCUGAGAGGAAGAUCCCCCACACUGGCACUGAGAUACGGGCCAGACUCCUACGGGAGGCAGCAGUAGGGAAUAUUGGUCAAUGGAUGCAAGUCUGAACCAGCCAUGCCGCGUGCAGGAAGAAGGCCUUCUGGGUUGUAAACUGCUUUUGCCAGGGGAUAAAAUUUCCAUGCGUGGAAAACUGAAGGUACCUGGUGAAUAAGCCACGGCUAACUACGUGCCAGCAGCCG